AAGAGUCCCUAACGCUUAACUAACACCGCUAACGCCUCUUCUCCCCCAACAGCCGUGACGUGUUAGAGAGAGGGGAGGACGAGGGGGAGCCGGGGGGAGGCAGCCGACGUGUUCACGGCUUGAGUGAUGUUGACAAGAAAGACGCCGCCCUCCCCCUCGACGUGUUCGGCCAGGAAGUGGUGGAGAAGAUCUACAGUAAGAACUAUGCAGAGAAGGAGGCAGGUCUCAAGCAGCUACAGCACCACCUCACCACCUACUCCCCCGACACAGCUGGCAUCAGACCCGAUAGGUACGUGCGGGGAGCGGUGGUGUUGGUGCGUCGAGCUCUGAGGGAUAAAGUGCACAGUGUUGGCCUCCUCGCCUCACACACCCUCUCUCACAUUCUCAGUAACUUCAUCUCCAAGCACAAGUAAGUUCUCUCUAGUAAAGGUU
This is a long non-coding RNA of Homarus americanus (American lobster), 432 nucleotides long. RefSeq lists it as uncharacterized. The record is from RefSeq and is a predicted model, not a curated record. The transcript has 3 exons. NCBI's taxonomy places the organism in Eukaryota, Metazoa, Arthropoda, Malacostraca, Decapoda, Nephropidae.